GAGAUACAUUCAGGCCUUUGCAUCAUUUAAUGGUGUGAAGAGAAAGGAUAUCCAAAGUGAAAGUGGGUAUCAUGACAAUUGUAGAAUAGYRAUAUUUAACAAGUAAUCGAUGAGAAUAUCUGAUCUAUCAACUAGUUGGUAGUAUCGAGGACUACCAAGGUUAUAACGGAUAACGAGGAAUUAGGGUUUGACAUCGGAGAGGGAGCUUUCAAGAUGGCUACCACUUCCAAGGAAGGCAGCAGGCGCGUAAAUUACCCAAUUUCAACAGAUAGAAGAGGUAGUGACGA
RNAcentral lists this ribosomal RNA (287 nucleotides) under Entamoeba hartmanni. Its description in RNAcentral is "partial small subunit ribosomal RNA". It matches the Rfam family "Eukaryotic small subunit ribosomal RNA", at positions 165 to 475 of the family's 1831-position model. The record is from RNAcentral. Lineage: Eukaryota; Evosea; Mastigamoebida; Endamoebidae.